RNAcentral lists this ribosomal RNA (402 nucleotides) under uncultured bacterium. RNAcentral's name for it is "bacterial SSU rRNA". It matches the Rfam family "Bacterial small subunit ribosomal RNA", at positions 355 to 774 of the family's 1533-position model. The record is from RNAcentral.
CGGGGAAUCUUGCACAAUGGGGGAAACCCUGAUGCAGCGACGCCGCGUGAACGAUGAAGCCCUUCGGGGUGUAAAGUUCUUUCGACAGGAACGAUAAUGACGGUACCGGGAGAAGAAGCUGCGGCUAACUACGUGCCAGCAGCCGCGGUAAUACGUAGGCAGCAAGCGUUGUUCGGAGUUACUGGGCGUAAAGAGUGCGUAGGCGGUUUUCUAAGUUCGGUGUGAAAUCUCCCGGCUUAACUGGGAGGGUGCGCCGAAGACUGGGAAGCUGGAGUGUGGGAAAGGCAGGCGGAAUUCCCGGUGUAGCGGUGAAAUGCGUAGAUAUCAGGAGGAACACCGGCGGUGUAGACGGCUUGCUAGACCAUAACUGACGCUGAGGCACGAAAGCGUGGGUAGCAAACA